Long non-coding RNA from Populus euphratica (Euphrates poplar), 1282 nucleotides. RefSeq lists it as uncharacterized. NCBI's taxonomy places the organism in Eukaryota, Viridiplantae, Streptophyta, Magnoliopsida, Malpighiales, Salicaceae. The record is from RefSeq and is a predicted model, not a curated record. The transcript is spliced from 3 exons.
AAGGAGAAUGUAUGGGAUGUGCUGUUUUUUUUUUCAAAAAAAACAAUGUACGUCUCCUAGUCACUGACACCAACAAAUUCUCAUACGAGUAUAUACACCAAAGCACCACCACCCAUACGCUAUCCACGCCUACAGAGCGCCCAAAAGUCAGGUGAUCACGAACACCACCAUAAACUGGCAAAGCCACCUUCCACGACGCUGCUUGACCCUACUCCGAUUGAAGUUCAGCCAAGCAUGGCAGCGAACAAGGCAGAUGCAGAAACCUUUUGAAGAAGCAACAUGUGCUUUAAAGAUUUGUGAUUGGCAAUACUAUGAACAGUGUUGAUGUGGUUGACUUUGUAAGCGUAGAUGGUACUGCCAUUACACAUCCAAAGAGGAGAUGGCUACCGAGGGGGGUGAUACCCCUGGGUUGGAACAUUGAUGAUGUGCCCUUGGUGGGUUAGAUACCAACUACAACUAUACAUCAGAAAGAGGAGACAGUUGAGAAGAUUGUCUCUGCUAGGCAGGUAGGGGUGAAUGUUUGAGCGGAGGUCUGUUGUCCCACUGCUGGUAAAGGGAUUUAGCAUACCACCUUCUUCAAGGGGACCUCGCAGUCCUCUUAUUGAGCACAUUGAUAUUGUGAUCAAUUCAGAUCCUUCAACAGCAGAUCCUUAUUGAGGCAACUUCCCUCCCCAGGUGUCUUACACAUCCACUUUGGAUGGAACUGGGAUUUCUGAGGUGCCUCCAGGUGGAGAUGCGAGGGGCUAUUUCCACUGUUUUCUUGUGCUGGAGUGUUAUGAUUGUUGCCUUCACAGGGUUCAUGUAAAGGAUGGUGAGUUCUGGAGUGGUGUUCCUGUCCCUGAACCUCGUUAGGUUGUUUUUUUUCCUGACUUACCUGGAGAGGCCCGGGCUAUUGGUUGAGUGUAGGGAUCUGGGUUUGGGAAUUGAUUCUCUGGCGAAUGGGCUGGGGAGAUUUAGGAAGGUGUUGGAGUCCUUUGAUCUGGGCAGGAGGAUUGAUGAGCUCAAGGAGCAGAAGGCUACCAUUAUAGUGGGGGAAUCCGACACUGAGGGAGAGUUGUGGUGGGAUGUCAGUAGUAUUGACAAGUUGAUGUCUCGGAGCCUUGUUUCUUGGUAGGACCUUUGGUAAAACUACUUGUUGGACUAUCUAUCAGUUUGGGCGACUAUUUUUUGCUUUAUGGGGUCAUAUAAUGCUCUGUAGUAGUUGAUAUUUUCUCAAUCCAAAUCAUUCAAGCUCCUGUAUCUGUUUCUCAGUAUAUAUACUUCCCUGAUGUGGUUUUUUCAA